UUGGUCCCCAUCAACCAGCA
This 20-nucleotide microRNA is filed under the name Schmidtea mediterranea. RNAcentral's name for it is "sme-miR-133b-3p". Its record names the gene sme-miR-133b-3p. The record is from miRBase by way of RNAcentral. Lineage: Eukaryota; Metazoa; Platyhelminthes; Tricladida; Dugesiidae.